GAUGAACGCUGGCGGCGUGCCUAAUACAUGCAAGUCGAGCGAACAGACGAGGAGCUUGCUCCUCUGACGUUAGCGGCGGACGGGUGAGUAACACGUGGAUAACCUACCUAUAAGACUGGGAUAACUUCGGGAAACCGGAGCUAAUACCGGAUAAUAUAUUGAACCGCAUGGUUCAAUAGUGAAAGACGGUUUUGCUGACACUUAUAGAUGGAUCCGCGCUGCAUUAGCUAGUUGGUAAGGUAACGGCUUACCAAGGCAACGAUGCGUAGCCGACCUGAGAGGGUGAUCGGCCAAACUGGAACUGAGACAAGGUCAAGACUCCUACGGGGGGCAGCAGUGGGGAAUAUUGCGCAAUGGGCGAAAGCUUGAAGCAGCAAAGCCGCGUGGGUGAAGAAGGUCUUCGGGUCGUAAAACUCUGUUAUUGGGGAAGAACAAAUGUGUAAGUAACUAUGCACGUCUUGACGGUACCUAAUCAGAAAGCCACGGCUAACUACGUG
RNAcentral lists this ribosomal RNA (497 nucleotides) under uncultured bacterium. RNAcentral's name for it is "partial 16S ribosomal RNA". It matches the Rfam family "Bacterial small subunit ribosomal RNA", at positions 28 to 507 of the family's 1533-position model. The record is from RNAcentral.